RNAcentral lists this ribosomal RNA (391 nucleotides) under uncultured bacterium. RNAcentral describes it as "bacterial SSU rRNA". It matches the Rfam family "Bacterial small subunit ribosomal RNA", at positions 28 to 420 of the family's 1533-position model. The record is from RNAcentral.
GACGAACGCUGGCGGCGUGCUUAACACAUGCAAGUCGAACGGUAAGGCCCCUUCGGGGGUACACGAGUGGCGAACGGGUGAGUAACACGUGAGUAACCUGCCCUUGACAUCGGAAUAAGCCCGAGAAAUCGGGUCUAAUACCGAAUAAUCAUCUUCGCGGACAUCCGCUUAGGUGCAAAGCUCCGGCGGUCAGGGAUGGACUCGCGGCCUAUCAGCUAGUUGGUGAGGUAACGGCUCACCAAGGCUUCUACGGGUAGCCGGCCUGAGAGGGCGACCGGCCACACUGGGACUGAGAUACGGCCCAGACUCCUACGGGAGGCAGCAGUGGGGAAUAUUGCACAAUGGACGAAAGUCUGAUGCAGCAACGCCGCGUGCGGGAUGACGGCCUCGG